Long non-coding RNA from Asparagus officinalis (garden asparagus), 940 nucleotides. RefSeq lists it as uncharacterized. The record is from RefSeq and is a predicted model, not a curated record. The transcript has 4 exons. NCBI's taxonomy places the organism in Eukaryota, Viridiplantae, Streptophyta, Magnoliopsida, Asparagales, Asparagaceae.
GGCGGAUUUUGCUCGGAGUGGGUUCAAGAGCAUCAGUGCAGUUGGGAAGCUCUUAGAAAUAUGAAGCUGUUGCCUAAUGGGCCAUCGGAGGAUUAUAUUGAUAGGAUGUUCAGAAUGAGACUCCACGUCCAUAUUUGCUUAAAAGGUUUCAGUGGGAUCCUAUGAAGCUUGCGCCUCAAUUAAUUCAUUAGUGUACAAUCAGAUAUUGCAGCAGUUGCAGAUAGAGACUGGAAACAAACUCCAGCUUUUAAGGUGUUUUAUUUGCAUGAUGAUCGAUCAGGCGAGGAAUGCUUCAAUAAUUUCUUUUUACCGUCCGGGCCAAGGAGGAACAGUCCUUCCGCCUGUCAAUCUGAAGGAACCAGGGAAAUAAAAUACAACCGUGCCCAGGUUUCCUGAGGUUAGGGUGGUGAGAGCGUACGCUUGUUAUGGCUACAGCGGGUCUUAUCUGAAAGCAACUGAAGGGCGUUGCUGGUGAGAUACUGGGAUCCUUCCUAUGGCUUCUGCAGGUCGGGAGGAUAACGACAGUGAGAUGAGAUGCAACGCAUUCAAAGGGAAUCUUGGAAAAUACUAGUCUAUCGUGUUGUUUAUUGUUAUGCGGCAUUGACUCUGUAUUAAUGCCAUCCAGGUCUAGAAUUGAGAGCUGAGAAGACUUUUGUUUAAAUCCAAGUAUCGUCGGUUCACCGCGUUCCUUAACCAUAAAAAAGUUGCCUCGUCCGGAGCUUGGCCUUGAAAGCCUUAACGCCAACACAAGGGGGGGAAGGAAAGAAGAAAAAGAAAAUUCCACGCAACGCAUUCUUCUUAUUAAUCGGGACGACUGACAAAGAAUCUUUUAAAUGACAGCUUGCAAAAGUUGCAAAAGGCGAGGCUUUCCAGAUGCGGGCUGGUAUUUAUUUUUAUAUGUAGAAAUCUUAGGUCGAACAGGCUUUCCAAAUACAACUAG